This is a long non-coding RNA of Herpailurus yagouaroundi (jaguarundi), 1039 nucleotides long. RefSeq lists it as uncharacterized. Lineage: Eukaryota; Metazoa; Chordata; Mammalia; Carnivora; Felidae. The record is from RefSeq and is a predicted model, not a curated record. The transcript is spliced from 2 exons.
CCUCUGCAGCCUGGGAAGCUGUGCUCAAAGGCCGGCGGCGGGAGUCUGGUUUGACACCCACAAAAGGGCUCUGGAGGAUUCACCAAAUGCCCUCUGAUGGUUUUCUCCCUCCUCCAGAGAUGGUUCCUAAAGAAAACCAAAUCGCCUGUCCUGUGAGGGGGAGCCAGGAAGGUGAAAGAAGGGGCCCUCCAGCGGUCCCUGGUCAGGCUCACUGAUACAUCGGUUCCAACAAGAGCGUGGGCAGCAACCCCAGGGUGUGGGGGAGAGCCCCCAAUACCCAAAACUGUGAGUGCGUGUGGGCUGGAAGGUCACUCGUUUGCCUAAGUCACCCCUGCAGGAGUUUCUGAAGACAAGUCAUUCAGCCAAAAGGACGCUGCUCCCUCACCCUCCCUCCUGCGAAUACAUGUCCCACUGCAAGGCGCCCAGCUGCGUCAGAAGGGAUGAGACACACACUGCUCUUCUAGCAACUUCCAUCUCCUGCUUCCCCUGCCCCCACCCCUCGGCCCAACGCCUCCCCUGCUCUCCCUUCCUCCAGCAGGAAAGGUAACAGCACCGCUCACCGCAGCCAGUGAACCACACGGCAUCCUCAAAGCAAACUUGAGAGAACAGGAGCUUUUCCGGGUCCCUGGCGCAGAAGGAAACCUGCCCCCUUGCUGCCUCCCUCUGGCCCCCACGUCUCCAGCAGACACUGAGCCGCCUAGAAAAGGCCAUUGCUGAAGGGUGCCCCGUAGCACAGGCCUGAGAAUCUGCCAGGCUGGCACCCUCACCCACUAGCAGCUGCCCUUCUCCCCGAAGGGAAAGAAACUCGUGGGCGGGUUUUUAAGGCUCGAAAUAAAGUUUAAAUAUUACGUGGAAAUUACUAAACAAAUCAAAUCACUGUUAAGUGGAUGUCACGGGCUUCCUCUAGACAAUACGUUUAAUGAAGAUUAUUGUCCUCCUGGUUAUAGUUUGAGAUUUGCAUUUUAUUAUCAGAGAACCACUUAUGCAUUACUCCAGGAUUUUCAUUAGGUAAAUAAAUUUUUAUGUGGAUUUCAUUAUA